RNAcentral lists this ribosomal RNA (382 nucleotides) under Micrococcus luteus. RNAcentral describes it as "bacterial SSU rRNA". It matches the Rfam family "Bacterial small subunit ribosomal RNA", at positions 28 to 409 of the family's 1533-position model. Lineage: Bacteria; Bacillati; Actinomycetota; Actinomycetes; Micrococcales; Micrococcaceae. The record is from RNAcentral.
GAUGAACGCUGGCGGCGUGCUUAACACAUGCAAGUCGAACGAUGAAGCCCAGCCUGCUGGGCGGAUUAGUGGCGAACGGGUGAGUAACACGUGAGUAACCUGCCCUUGACUCUGGGAUAAGCCCGGGAAACUGGGUCUAAUACCGGAUAGGAGCGCCUGUCGCAUGACGGGUGCUGGAAAGAUUUUUCGGUCAUGGAUGGACUCGCGGCCUAUCAGCUUGUUGGUGAGGUAACGGCUCACCAAGGCGACGACGGGUAGCCGGCCUGAGAGGGUGACCGGCCACACUGGGACUGAGACACGGCCCAGACUCCUACGGGAGGCAGCAGUGGGGAAUAUUGCACAAUGGGCGGAAGCCUGAUGCAGCGAACGCCGCGUGAGGGAA